GCAAGUCGAGCGGUAAGGCCCUUCGGGGUACACGAGCGGCGAACGGGUGAGUAACACGUGGGUGAUCUGCCCUGUACUUCGGGAUAAGCCUGGGAAACUGGGUCUAAUACCGGAUAUGACCUUCGAUCGCAUGGUUGAGGGUGGAAAGAUUUAUCGGUACAGGAUGGGCCCGCGGCCUAUCAGCUUGUUGGUGGGGUAAUGGCCUACCAAGGCGACGACGGGUAGCCGACCUGAGAGGGUGACCGGCCACACUGGGACUGAGACACGGCCCAGACUCCUACGGGAGGCAGCAGUGGGGAAUAUUGCACAAUGGGCGGAAGCCUGAUGCAGCGACGCCGCGUGAGGGAUGACGGCCUUCGGGUUGUAAACCUCUUUCGACAGGGACGAAGCGCAAGUGACGGUACCUGUAGAAGAAGCACCGGCCAACUACGUGCCAGCAGCCGCGGUAAUACGUAGGGUGCGAGCGUUGUCCGGAAUUACUGGGCGUAAAGAGCUUGUAGGCGGUUUGUCGCGUCGUUUGUGAAAACUUGGGGCUCAACCCCAAGCUUGCAGGCGAUACGGGCAGACUAGAGUACUUCAGGGGAGACUGGAAUUCCUGGUGUAGCGGUGAAAUGCGCAGAUAUCAGGAGGAACACCGGUGGCGAAGGCGGGUCUCUGGGAAGUAACUGACGCUGAGAAGCGAAAGCGUGGGUAGCGAACAGGAUUAGAUACCCUGGUAGUCCACGCCGUAAACGGUGGGUACUAGGUGUGGGUUUCCUUCCACGGGAUCCGUGCCGUAGC
RNAcentral lists this ribosomal RNA (780 nucleotides) under Nocardia sungurluensis. RNAcentral describes it as "bacterial SSU rRNA". It matches the Rfam family "Bacterial small subunit ribosomal RNA", at positions 57 to 852 of the family's 1533-position model. Lineage: Bacteria; Bacillati; Actinomycetota; Actinomycetes; Mycobacteriales; Nocardiaceae. The record is from RNAcentral.